AUCUACCGGUAGCUUGUGAUCCACGUCAUGGGUACCACUGCUAUACCUACAUUUGAUUUUGUAUUCACCUGUCGACCUUUACAGGAGGUGUACUACAAAGUUUUCUCCAUGAGCAUGGUGACAAACGAGGUUGCUGUUCGUGUCUGUCAUGCCACCCGUCUGUCCUAUUUUCAUCAGACACUUCUUCCAUACCGCAAAGUCAGCGUUGUCUCGUCCACGCUAUAAAAGUCAAAUAAGCCCUGCCCCACACAGCCAGGCCGAGCCCCCACCACCAGAGAGCCACCAGUCGCACGGAGGCGGGCAGGACCAAGACCGGCCCUCCAAGACCAGCAAGGGGCUGCAGAGAGGCAACCCUGACCAGAAACAGGGCGCUGGCAGGCCGGAGGGCAGCCAACCCUUGAGACCGGCGAGAGAACACACCCCAGACAGGCACCGGGGGCCACAUACCAGCAGGCACAGAGAUGCCCCUGCAACCGGAAAGGAGUUCUCCCAUGGCCGGGAGCAUCAACCCCCCACGCCACCCACCAUCCCCAGGGAACGGAGUCCGCCCCGGGCGAACCCAUGCCCCGACCCCUUACACAGGACCGCCUCGCCCGGGGACGAAGGGGGGGGCAUGACCUCUGAGCCCAGGUAAAAAAAAGACGAGAUAAACUCAGCAGGCUCUGAGUCCAAGACGAUGGGGGGAGUGGAUUGGAACCAUCACCGACUUACAGUAGUUUGGUUUCGGACCAGUUGACAUGCAGUCCCACUUCAUUGUCUCCACAGUGAACACACGAAUGGCUCCCUCCAGCUCAGCGUAUGAGCAGCAGAACAGGGCGGUGUCAUCGGUGUAGUCCAGGUCGAUUAGGUUGUAGUCAUCGAUCUUGACUUCAGGGAAACGGGUGCACACUAUCGUCCUGCGGUAACACAACACUGGUAAACACCAGCUGUGAGGAGGGUUGUAAUGGGGGGUGGGGCCAGUCUGAACCAAAAAGUCCAGGGCCAAAUUUUUGUCUUAGUCCACCCUUGCCAGCGGUGAUGGGGAACCGGUCGGUCUUGAUGUUGCGUGCUGUGGGCGGCACAAGAUAAUCCUCCGACUUGGCCGACCUGCCUGCCUGGUCAAGUCCCCCUUUGUUCACGACACCCACUCAUGAUAUAGAUUCAUAUUUAAAUACACAAAACAAAAACCCAGAAAAACACACUCCAUGAACUUGAAAAAUGUCAACUUUGUCAUGACUUGACAUGCUCGUUGACAUGAUGCUGAGUGGAAGUCAGCUCUGAAGUGUGCACUGCUCCUUCUUGAUCUAUGGUCCAUUGAUGUUCUGUCAUUCUUCGUUGUGAGGAACAGGUCGUCAAUGAGUUGUGGUGUUCUGUUUGCUUUGGGCAGACUCCACUGCACUACUGAGAGUCUUUAAGCACAUCUAUUAUGCAGCUAUUGAAUGAAUGGAGCCACGCUGAUUGAUUUGGAUGUUAGUGGAGCAGGCUUGUAUAGGGAUACAAUCAACAGCACUACUGUGUGAAUACUGAAACACAUUCACACACGUUAUCCUUCACAAAUAGUUUUAUUAUCCUUAUUCUUGCCUUAUCCUCACCCCAUUUUUUGACAACGCUCAUUACUUCCACAUUUUUCAAAUGAGCUUCUCUGGCUCUGCUGUCACCUGCCUGGCGCCUCACCGCCAGUUCUGCCCCACUACCUGGACAUCGCUCGCCUUCCUUGGCGGAGGUACAUCUUGUAGGAAUAUCCACCACGACAACUCCAAAGCAAUGAAACCCUUCUGGUCUACUUAUCACCACCCUUGAUCACAAUGCUUAAGCCAGCCUAGUCAGGUCAGCCAAUUCUCCUGUCAAACACCACAACAACCUGCGUCAGCUUCAGUUUGCUCAACAUCAGCUCACUCACGAGCGAGGGGCACCUCAUCCACGACCUCCUCAAUGACCGUAAGCUUGACUUCCUGUGGUUGAUUGAAACAUGACAACAGCCCUGCUCAUGCACGCCCCCACCAUUUUAUUGUGGGAUUAGCAAGAAUAAAGAUGUAACACUUACGUUGAAGACAUUACACAUGCUGUAGAAAGGCAUGGCGUAUUAUUGCUGACCUGCUGACAAAAACAAACAGGCAGGCACCAGGAUCCAAUUCAGUGCACUCACUGUGUGCACUCAAACCAAGAAGAGCAGUCUCAUUUGAUCAGGAAAUAUGCUCAUUCCGCCAUUUUUACUUCAAAAAACAAUAAUACAGUUCAAUUGACAAAUAUUAAUAUUUAUUUUAUGUUAUUGCUAUUCUUUUUUUUCUCUCAUCAGCAUCAGUGGAUGUUUGGCUUAGUUGGCAUGGAUAACAAAAAGUGAGGUAGAGAUAAGCGGCACAGAAGGAAGGAUAUGGAUAUGGAUAUAUUUCAUAUGGAUAUAUUUUGUAUAUUUUGGCUCAGGUGGUGGAGUGGUUGUCUCCCAACCUGAAGAUUGCGGGUUUGAACCUCCAUUCCCCCAAUGAGCUUUGGAUCAAGAUACUGAACCCCCAGUUGCUCCUGAUGCUGCGUCAUCAGUAGGUAAAUGUGCUAGCAAUGUCAAAGCAUGAUACCAGGGGUCGCCAACCAAUGGGCCGCAGAAAACUUUCAGGUGCAAUGAUAAGCAAAAAUACGCUUAAAAAAAGUUUGUAAAUAAGUACAUUUAAUUUUAUGUAAACGCAUAUCAGUUUUGUUUUUUUUAUGAUAUUUUUUGCCCCUGGUCCUGUCCAGCCACUAGGGCAGAUAAUACUGUCGAUCUAAGUGCCCUUACAUGCUCAACAGAUUUGCUCUAGCGCAUGCCCGACGUGAUCAUUUUGAUGGCAUACGCUGAACUGUGGACGUAUUUUUCAAUUUUGGACGUAUACAUGACGUAUUAGUAACUUAUAUAGAAUGUUUCUAGAACUUAUAGACAACUUAUACCAACGAAUGCGUAGCGUGUUGCCGGCGUUCACAACUUAUGCCCAACGCCAGUCUAACUUAUGCAAACCGCAUGGCAGCGUAUGGCCGACGAUGACGUGCCGUAGCCUAUAAAAAGGCUGCCACUUGAUGACUCACCUCACUAGACAUCGCAGUGUCAACAUCAGCAUCAUGCCGAAGACAAUUUCCAAGACCGCUGCCGUCAGGGCAGUGACAGAGGGAUCCAUCACCACCCACAGCCUCCCCCUCCUACUCUCACUCUGAUGGAGAUGACGCAGGUUGUAAUGCCCCUUCCCCUCCUGUUGGUUCCAUUCCCCAAAGUUGUUUGAGUACACUAAGUCCCCAACCAAUGAACAUAAUUGGUUCCAGACGACCGUUCUUAAGUCAAAUUGUUCUUAAGUCGAAAAAAAUGAAUAUUGCCAAUGAUAUAGGUAGUACAUGUACAUGUACACAUAUACAGUAUAUGUGUAUGUAUGUACAUAUGAGUUUGGAUGCAGUAGUAAUAUUAAACGAGGAUAAUUAAUGAAAAAAACAAUCAUAAUAAAAGUGAUAUAAUAAUACGUAAUGAUAAAUGUUAUUUACCUUUGAAGAGGAGUGGUCGAGCAUACGUCGUUGUGGUGGUGGAGGAGGAGAUAUUGAAAAAAAGGACAAAUCGUCGUCAUUAGACUCUUCUAAAAGAGGUAGUGUUCUGUGGGUGGUGUAGAAAUAAGCAGGCCUAUUAACUCUUCAUAAACUUUAAUCACACGCUCUGUCCGGGUUGUAUCAUAAAACUCUUCCUUCCUCUCUCCUCUUUCUAUAUCUGUUGGUCCCAUUAGCAGUGUCACAGUGCCCUCUGCUGGUCAAGCAUGUACCAGUAUAAAUAUGGGUUUGCCGGUCAAGCAUGUAGCAGUAUAAAUAUGGAUUUAUAAGGCAAAACACAUGAAAAUAUAGACCAGUCGGCUUGUGUUCGUAUCUCCGAAUGUUCGCACGUCGGAUGUUCGUUAGUAGGGGACUUAGUGUAGUAUUAAAGUGUUGCACUGUGCAAUAACACUUGAAGGAAUACGUUUAUUAUCGUUCAUCGCUGGGGUGUGGUGUCAUUAUGACGGAUGAUCAUGUAUUUCACGGCUGUCUUUUAUACUCAUUUGUAAAUAGUUGUAUUUUUCCCAACAAACCUUAACUUGGACAGUAACAUGUUGUAUCUCUCCAUUCUUUUUGAAUGUAAAUUCUCUUAUGCACUUUAUGUUG
Molecule: RNA transcript, 4116 nt
Organism: Dunckerocampus dactyliophorus (ringed pipefish)
Lineage: Eukaryota; Metazoa; Chordata; Actinopteri; Syngnathiformes; Syngnathidae
Gene name: proline-rich proteoglycan 2-like
Exons: 3
Source: RefSeq, a predicted model, not a curated record